AAAUACUUAGGAUGGAAAACUGAU
Molecule: non-coding RNA, 24 nt
Filed under: Cricetulus griseus (Chinese hamster)
Lineage: Eukaryota; Metazoa; Chordata; Mammalia; Rodentia; Cricetidae
Source: RNAcentral